UCCUUUCACCAAAAAGAGCCAUUCAAAAAGAGCCGUUCGUUCGCGAACGACCCAUCACUAGUUCCAACGAGUCCCCUGUCGGUCAAUUGCCCUCUAUAUAUCACCAACACAACAUUGCUUGCUCAAUACAAAGAGAACGCGGAUUCAUAAAGGCGCACGGUGAUUUGUAUUUAUUUCUACUACCAUUGGAGCGGUCCAAGGUGCUGAAACAUGAAUCAAAGUGCGGGAGUAGCCCAAAAUGUUCGUCGUUACUCUUCUGAUGAUAAGAAUCCUGGCCCUUUGUGCGAUUGUGGAACGGGGCUGCUAGCUUCCAUAGAAACUCAUAAUCGGAGGGGUUUCUAAAAAGAGACAACUGGACCACCAAUGGGGAGUGCCAUGGAGGCACUGGAAGUCGUCCUACCCCGAAGUCAAAGACAAUAUCGGAGCUGUGAGAUCCAGCAGGGGGAGAAGCUGUAGUAACCAUCCAUUUUAUGUUGCACAGCCAUCUGCCUCAUUACAAUAAUCUCCCACACUCCAAAGACGCUCUCUGAAGGAUUCACACGCAGUCUCUGAAACAGCUUUGAAGAGCAGAGCAUGCUCGAGGGAACAAAGCCAUAGAGAUGUGAGUGUGUAAAAGUGUGCAUGCAAUUUUUUUUUUUACCCUUCCAUUCAACCAGCCUUGCAUUUUAAACAGUAUUUGGCCAGAGGGAGCUACUUUAGCAGUUGCUCUAAAUAUGGAGAACUUAGACCACAUUUCAGUGACAUCUGUGGCACCCAUUGAGAAACUCAUUCACCUCUCCAACUGUGUCGUAUCUAAAUGAGCAAUGGCUGGUUGGCUUACAUGUGAGGGACUAUUUUGGGCUUGCAUCACUUAGAGGUGCCUUGCGUAGAUUUUUUAUUUGAAUACGCUGAUAGCUUAGGGCUCUAUUCAAUCCGCAGUGUUGAAGAUCCGCUUUAUAGUGCGGUUGAUAAUUAAAGGCAAUGUUCAUGCGGUCGUGGAGACUGCAUUCACGGUAAACGCUGCAUACUGUAUUACCAUUUGAAGGAUAUGUAUUUUCUGCUUGGAUAGUUCCAUCUGUGCCACUGAGUCUGGCUUUAAUUAUAGUUUGUCUACACAUUUAUAUCUGAUAUGUUUGAAUCACAUCUCCAUUUAAACCAAAAAUCUAAGUUUUUAUUAACAAAUGUUAAUUCCAUUUAAAAUCAAACUAAAGCUUGAAACCCUACACUCUAAGAAAAAAGGUUUCCCUCUGUAGAAAUGGUUCUACAUGGAACCCUAAAGGGUUCUACCUGGAACCAAAAGGUUUCUACUUGCAACCAAAAAGGGUUCUCCAAAGGGUUCUCCUAUGGGGAUAGCAGAAGAACCCUUUUAAGGUUCUAGUAAGCACCUUUUUUCUAAGAGUGAAGAUAUGUAUUGUCUAUUUUUGUUGAAUCCUGUGUUCAAUUAAAAAAAUAGCUUUUGAUGACUUCCCAAAUGCAACGUUGGCCUGAAUAGCAUCAUUUAUGAUAUGAGUGAUAAAAUGUGGUUACAUUUCAUUUGCUCUGUUAAACUUAUCCUUUGGAAUGACUUCAAUAGCAACAGUGAAUCUAAGUGGAGA
Molecule: long non-coding RNA, 1574 nt
Organism: Oncorhynchus kisutch (coho salmon)
Lineage: Eukaryota; Metazoa; Chordata; Actinopteri; Salmoniformes; Salmonidae
Source: Ensembl